This 243-nucleotide unclassified non-coding RNA is filed under the name Parmelia sp. RNAcentral's name for it is "partial contains 5.8S ribosomal RNA, internal transcribed spacer 2, and large subunit ribosomal RNA". The record is from RNAcentral. Lineage: Eukaryota; Fungi; Ascomycota; Lecanoromycetes; Lecanorales; Parmeliaceae. RNAcentral also lists the same sequence under 2 other names.
AACGCACAUUGCGCCCCUUGGUAUUCCGGGGGGCAUGCCUGUUCGAGCGUCAUUGCACCCCUCAAGCGAAGCUUGGUAUUGGGCCCUCGCCCCCGCGGCGUGCCCGAAAAGCAGUGGCGGUCCGGAGCGACUUUAAGCGUAGUAAAUUUCUCCCGCUUUGAAAGUUCGCCCCGCGGCCGGCCAGACAACCUCAUUAUUCCAAUAAUUGACCUCGGAUCAGGUAGGGAUACCCGCUGAACUUAA